Molecule: ribosomal RNA, 529 nt
Filed under: uncultured Eucasphaeria
Lineage: Eukaryota; Fungi; Ascomycota; Sordariomycetes; Hypocreales
Description: eukaryotic LSU rRNA
Rfam family: 5.8S ribosomal RNA (bases 174-327)
Source: RNAcentral
AAGUCGUAACAAGGUCUCCGUUGGUGAACCAGCGGAGGGAUCAUUACCGAGUUUACAACUCCCAAACCCCUGUGAACAUACCGUGUUGCUUCGGCGGCCGCUCCGGCGUCCGCCGAGGGACCAAACCCUUACUUUACUUGAGAAUCUUCUGAGUAUACAAACAAAUAAAUCAAAACUUUCAACAACGGAUCUCUUGGUUCUGGCAUCGAUGAAGAACGCAGCGAAAUGCGAUAAGUAAUGUGAAUUGCAGAAUUCAGUGAAUCAUCGAAUCUUUGAACGCACAUUGCGCCCGCCAGCAUUCUGGCGGGCAUGCCUGUUCGAGCGUCAUUUCAACCCUCGCGCCCAUCUGGGAGCGGUGUUGGGGACCGGCCUGCCUCACGGCGCGCCGCCCCCCAAAAUCAGUGGCGGUCUCGCUGCAGCCUCUCUUGCGUAGUAGCACACUCGCAUUGGAGCGCGGCGCGGCCACGCCGUAAAACCCCAACUUUUAGAGUUUGACCUCGGAUCAGGUAGGAAUACCCGCUGAACUUAA